CCCGUACUGUACUUUGGAAGAAAGUCACUACAUAUAGCCAGCACUUUAAAAGAAUGGAGAAUUAUGGUCCCUAUCCUUAAGGCAAAUACAUUGGAGACUUCUCAACUUUCUGCUUCUGAUGAUCUCAACUUGUGGUAUGGCAAAAGGAGAGCAAAAUGUUCACCCAGGGGUCUGAGUUUGGUUCAAGAGAGGAACUACAGCUGUUGGUGACUACAACCAUCUGCCCAGAUGACAUCGUGAUCAACUCCUCUGAAUCACUCUAAAGGAACGAGAAGUCCUGGCAGCUGAGUCAUGAUCCCCCAGGAGCCAUUAAGAAGUUAAUCUUCAGUCACUUCCAUCCAAACAGAAGAAAACCCAUGAAGGAUGAGAACUAUGGGUCCUGAGAAUGACAGGUAAUUGGUGCCACUUUAUUCACAGAAUCCAAUAAAUAGUACUCUUUGAUUCACAUAUUUAAUGCUCAUUAUUGUACAUUUUUAUAAAGACAAGUUAGUCUAAAUUGCCAUUCAUCUCUUUCUUAUCAAAGUCCUACCCAACACAUGAUCAUAUCAUCAGAAAUCAGAUAUUUUCUUGUUGAAUGCCCUACCUAACUCAUUCAAUUGUAAUUUUCUGGGAAUGGUGACCAGAGAUUUGAUAUUUUUGGAAGUUACAUCAAAUCCUCAUUACUUUAUAAGUGAUUUAAAAUUUAUCACAUGGUACACUUUUCAUAUCUUUCAAAGGAUUAAUAUAUAAAAAAUAUAUAGUUAAUGCUCAGCUUUAAAGACAUUAAAGGACAGAGUUAUACAGAAAGAAAGAUCCAGAGAUCUUUCUUUAAUAAAGAUAUUAAAAUUGAAUCUGCUUAUUCAAGUAUAAUGAUAGAACAGAAAGAGAUCUUAAAAUUGUUUAAUCUCUUCCUUGGCUUUCAAAAAUAUAAAGUCUUCUUUAUUGGAGAUUUCUUUAUCCAUAGAAUAUCUUAAUUCCCCACUCCCCAACUUCCUCCCCAUGUGAAGUUUUAUCUGUCUUUAAAAUAUUUGUGUUGUCUUCUUCAGGAUAUAUCAUUGAUUGGCACUUUUUGAUUCUAGUUUUAUAUACUGUUAUCCUUGUAUAUUAAAGUAGGUCUCAAAUAUAUCUUUCAUGGUGGUGUGUAAGGUUCUGAGAGAGCUGGAAAAAAGGUAUAAGCUCCCUUCUAAAGUGCAAGUAUAUACUUGCAGAGAUAUUUUUUCACUUACAUUCUUGGAGAUCAUCCAUGGUCUCCCCAUGUCUUUUACAAAAGAGGUUUCCAGCACCUAUUAGGGAAGCUAGAUGGUCACUUGUAUCUUCCUUAUCUCUGUAUUAGAUGAUAAUAUCGAAUGCAGGUAAGUGGUGGUGGGGAGAGUAAUAUUGACAGAAUAGUUAUAUGGCAAACAUUGGCACCUCAGAAAUUUUUUGCUUUUUUGAGGGCUCUUAUUAAUAUUUGCAAACUUUAAAAAGCCUUGAAAAGAGUUUUAUCCAGAGCUCACCACAUAUAGAAAAACAGAUCUCUCUUGUUAUGGGAAUUGAGGCUAGUCCAAAUUCCCCCAGAUUAAACAUCUUUCCUCAUUUGGCACAUUCUUCAGCUGUUCCUUAAGAAAAAAUCAUACUAAGGAAAGUUAAUUCUGGGAAGUCUAGAAUUAGAAUAAAAUUAUUACACUAAAAGGAAAGCCCAGAUAUCUCUUUAAAAAUGCUUAAUUUUUUUGAAAACUCACAUCAGCACCAGAUCAUUUCUUUAAUGUGUACAGAUUUCCUUUCUUCAUUGACUAAAUAGCUUUGCUAAACGAGAUUAAAACCACAUAACUCAAAUGAGACAUAUAAGAUCUUGAAUAAUGUUCACAUAGCUACAACAUCAAAUUCCAGUGCUAAUAUAAAUUAUGUCUACUACGUUUUCAUUUAUUUGGGAUUAUCUGUUUGCCUCAAGUGGUGUAAAAAAAUUGAGCAGGAACCACCUGAAACUUCCUUUCACAACAAGAGAAAGUUGUAAUUUGUAUUUACUUUACCUAGCUUUCUUUAUAUGAAUGUAGCCAAGAAGCAGGGGAGGAAGGACAAUUACAGGAAAUUGUGAUAGGAAACUAUUAGGAAAAGCAAUUUGUAAUUUCUGCUAAAACUCUAGGUAAAUAACCCUGAGCAUUCAUAGUCUGGCAAGU
RNAcentral lists this long non-coding RNA (2135 nucleotides) under Homo sapiens (human). Its description in RNAcentral is "HSALNT0307839". Lineage: Eukaryota; Metazoa; Chordata; Mammalia; Primates; Hominidae. The record is from RNAcentral.